AAGAAAACAAAGAAACCCGCUUCCUGCAGCGAUGUUACAAAAAGCCAUUAAAAAAACCUUCCUAAGUGAAACCUAGUUUUCACCAGUAGAUGUGGGUCUCAGCUUCAUGCUCCAGCUGCCAUGCCUGUCUGCUGUCAUGCCUUCCCACCACGAUGGUGAUGGACUCUGAGUCCUCUGGAACUUACGCCCUAAUACAGUCCUCCUUCUUUUGUGUGGAUUCCAGAAGAGGGCAGCAGACCCCUAGAAAUGGAGUUAGAAGUGGCUGUGGGCUGCUUGAUAUAAGUGCUGGGAACCAAAAUCUGACCCUCAGCAGGAACAUGCUGGGACCCCAAGCACUCUCCACUGCAGCUGAGAGCUCCAGUCUCCUGGGGAUGCUGAGGAUUGUCCCUUUGAGGGUCUCAGUUCAUUUUAUACAACAAGCCAGCAACACCUUUCUCUGUUUCCUGGUCCAUGGAGAUGUGAAGAUUCCCAGCUGAAUGCCUCUGUCUGUGAAUGCUAUCAUGUCUGCACCACCAUGAAGGAUGUACCCUCAUUGAGUCACAAUAAACCUGUCCUUC
Mesocricetus auratus (golden hamster) is the source of this 557-nucleotide long non-coding RNA. RefSeq lists it as uncharacterized. The record is from RefSeq and is a predicted model, not a curated record. Lineage: Eukaryota; Metazoa; Chordata; Mammalia; Rodentia; Cricetidae. The transcript has 5 exons.